AUACAUAAAGAUAAAGCAUAUAUGAUCAGAUAGAUAUGUAGUUAAGGACCACUUAUAGUUGUACACGGAAUCCCUAAUUCAAAUUGAAAUGUACAUUGAUCCAUAAGAUUUUCCUUUUCUUAAAAUAGAAAAAAGAUCCCCUCGUAGCGAGUAUUUCCGAAAAAUACUCAUUUUUUUUACAAUGGGUUCUAUAUUUCGUACAUAUAUAAUAA
This 212-nucleotide long non-coding RNA is filed under the name Olea europaea (common olive). Its description in RNAcentral is "long non-coding RNA (OEUR_LNC000249)". Lineage: Eukaryota; Viridiplantae; Streptophyta; Magnoliopsida; Lamiales; Oleaceae. The record is from RNAcentral.